Molecule: ribosomal RNA, 253 nt
Filed under: uncultured bacterium
Lineage: Bacteria
Description: partial 16S ribosomal RNA
Rfam family: Bacterial small subunit ribosomal RNA
Source: RNAcentral
UACGUAGGGGGCUAGCGUUGUCCGGAAUCAUUGGGCGUAAAGCGCGUGUAGGCGGUUCGGUAAGUCCGCUGUGAAAGUCGGGGGCUCAACCCUCGAAUGCCGGUGGAUACUGUCGGGCUCGAAUCCGGAAGAGGUGAGUGGAAUUCCUGGUGUAGCGGUGAAAUGCGCAGAUAUCAGGAGGAACACCAAUGGCGAAGGCAGCUCACUGGGACGGUAUUGACGCUGAGACGCGAAAGCGUGGGGAGCAAACAGG